This 536-nucleotide long non-coding RNA is filed under the name Apteryx owenii (little spotted kiwi). RNAcentral's name for it is "lncRNA (ENSAOWG00000018277.1)". The record is from RNAcentral. Lineage: Eukaryota; Metazoa; Chordata; Aves; Apterygiformes; Apterygidae.
GGCUGAGAAAGUGUCUGAAAGAUAUUUUCCAUCCUCUGUUCACACAGGUCAGAAGAUUUUUGUUCUUGGUUAACAGCUGUUUUUCCCCAUUGUAUUCAUACAUUCUCAGUUUUCUGCUGACAGAUAUUUCUCUUCCCAGAAAUCCCAAAUAGGGGGAAAAAUCUGGCAUUUGUGCAGAAAGCCAUCUCAGCUGCAGAGCUACAAAUGAUUUGGUUAGCUGUUUUGCUGAGAGGAAAGAAGGAACGUCUCAAAGAAUGGAGGUCUGCUCUGAGAAUAAAGAAGUUGAUGAGAAAAGCAAGAAGAACUAAGAAUCUUCUUUGCAAGCCUUUUGAGUUCUGUGUAAGAAUAGAAAGAAACACUGACAUGAAAUCCUGUUCUUCACAUUUCUGGAGAGCAUCCUGCAGAAGUGCAGGGGGAGGCUAGAUCUCCUCUACUUCCUUGUCAAUGAUCUGACCUAUCUUCUUUAGGCCCUGCUGAUUAAAAGAAAGCCAUGGCCUCCCUAAUGAAAGGGUUGAUGAGUUAAGAAGAUACAAAAU